Long non-coding RNA from Micropterus dolomieu (smallmouth bass), 1433 nucleotides. RefSeq lists it as uncharacterized. The record is from RefSeq and is a predicted model, not a curated record. Lineage: Eukaryota; Metazoa; Chordata; Actinopteri; Centrarchiformes; Centrarchidae. The transcript is spliced from 3 exons.
ACACACACACAGAAGACUGACAGUAAACGGGCAGAAACACUCGAAGGAGAAAACAUAGGAAACACUGGGAACUGAUGAGGUGGAACAGCCAAAUCUUUACAGGUUUUGAUUUAAUUUGUUGCAGAUAUUGAGAACGACUUCUGACUGGACAUUUCCUCUCACAGUCAGCUGGCUGUCACCGGUAGCCUUUAGACUGAGUUCAACUGCAAAUUUUAACAGAAACAAGAGAUGACACCAAGCAGCUGAGCAAACUGGUCCUGUGUAGUGGUGGACAUUGGGUUAAUGAGUCGGACUCAGAGAGACAGCCAGAGUACGAGCCUCGUGUUCUUGGAGCUGGAAUCUUUCAGGAGAAGGGGCCUCGGUGGCCGUGGUGUUGGGGGAGCCAAGACCUGCCGUGUUUCCUGAACGGAGGGGUAAUGUGAGUCGCCGCCGUCACCGAUGCACUCCUGCACCCAAGAUGCGGAAGACUUUGAUGCAGCAGAGCAGUGAAGAGCCUCUCUCUGAAAACUAAACAAAUACCCUCUCGAUUGGCUGUGAAAGGGAGCAAAUUAGGCCUGUCUGUUGAAGUGAGAGUGCUACAUAAUCAGCUGGAAGGAGAGAGAGAGGAGAUAAGUGAGUUUUUGGCUGAAUUGAUAUGCUAAUGCAGUAAAUUUACAUGACCCGCUCAUACCAACAAAGAAGAAGAUUUAAACCACAAGAAGACACUUUGUUUUAAAUUUUUAUUGGUUUGGUGAAGUAAUCACAGACACAGAGAAGCUGUUCAACUGCAAACAAAUCUUUGUCUUUUCACAUUUGUAACAAAUAGCAUUUAUUUAAAGUUUUUAAAGGAUCCAAUCUAGAUUUGGCGAUAAGGCUGAACAUGAUACUGCAUUUAAGAAACGGCCUAAAAUCUUCAUACUGGUAGAAAUGGGUUCUAAGGCUGGCAAGGUCAGUUUAUCCAAGCACUGUGGAACAAAUUGAUUUGUAAUUUAUUUUGAAUAUUAAAAGGUCCCAAGAGAAAGAACCAUAAUAUAUUUUGUGACCUCCUGAUCACCUUCUUUAAGCACUAGCGUCUGAAACUAGCAGCGCCACUAAGUCUUCUGUGCUCAUUGACGGCUGUUUGGAAAACAACCGAGCCAAUCAGAGCUUUGCCCGACAUAACAAAUGUUAAGUUAACUGUACGUUUAAGUCACCACAGGCAAGCAGAACUGAGAGCAGCUAAUUUGAACACAAUGUCAGACUGUAUAAUGAAAUAAAAACAAUGGUAAUUUGGUCUGAUUAUCAGGUUUGAAUAGGAUUUUUUUUUCCUCUGCAACCUUUCCCCCCUAUACCUAUACAUUUAUUAUUUUGGAAUGAAACCCUUAAUACUCUCUGAUUUGAAGUCAUUAUAACGUUUAGAACUCGCACAUUUUACCUUCAAGCACUUAAUAACCCCACUGGCACAAACUUUAAAA